This 413-nucleotide ribosomal RNA is filed under the name uncultured bacterium. RNAcentral's name for it is "bacterial SSU rRNA". It matches the Rfam family "Bacterial small subunit ribosomal RNA", at positions 355 to 787 of the family's 1533-position model. The record is from RNAcentral.
UGGGGAAUAUUGCACAAUGGGGGAGCCCUGAUGCAGCGACGCCGCGUGAGCGAAGAAGUAUUUCGGUAUGUAAAGCUCUAUCAGCAGGGAAGAAAAUGACGGUACCUGACUAAGAAGCCUCGGCUAACUACGUGCCAGCAGCCGCGGUAAUACGUAGGUCCCGAGCGUUGUCCGGAUUUAUUGGGCGUAAAGCGAGCGCAGGUGGUUUAUUAAGUCUGGUGUAAAAGGCAGUGGCUCAACCAUUGUAUGCAUUGGAAACUGGUAGACUUGAGUGCAGGAGAGGAGAGUGGAAUUCCAUGUGUAGCGGUGAAAUGCGUAGAUAUAUGGAAGAACACCAGUGGCGAAAGCGGCUCUCUGGUCUGUAACUGACGCUGAGGUUCGAAAGCGUGGGUAGCAAACAGGAUUAGAUACCC